GGGGCUGUAGCUCAGUGGCAGAGCACUUGCCUAGCAUGCAUGAGGCAUUGGGUUCGAUCCUCAGCACCA
Molecule: transfer RNA, 69 nt
Filed under: Urocitellus parryii (Arctic ground squirrel)
Lineage: Eukaryota; Metazoa; Chordata; Mammalia; Rodentia; Sciuridae
Also listed under: 1 other name
Description: Spermophilus parryii (Arctic ground squirrel) tRNA
Rfam family: tRNA
About the family: Transfer RNA (tRNA) molecules are approximately 80 nucleotides in length. Their secondary structure includes four short double-helical elements and three loops (D, anti-codon, and T loops). Further hydrogen bonds mediate the characteristic L-shaped molecular structure. tRNAs have two regions of fundamental functional importance: the anti-codon, which is responsible for specific mRNA codon recognition, and the 3' end, to which the tRNAs corresponding amino acid is attached (by aminoacyl-tRNA synthetases). tRNAs cope with the degeneracy of the genetic code in two manners: having more than one tRNA (with a specific anti-codon) for a particular amino acid; and 'wobble' base-pairing, i.e. permitting non-standard base-pairing at the 3rd anti-codon position.
Source: Rfam by way of RNAcentral